AAUGCCGCGUGUGUGAAGAAGGCCUUCGGGUUGUAAAGCACUUUUAUCAGGAGCGAAAUCUGCAUGCUCAAUACGUAUGCAGUCUGACGGUACCUGAGGAAUAAGCACCGGCUAACUUCGUGCCAGCAGCCGCGGUAAUACGAAGGGUGCAAGCGUUAAUCGGAAUUACUGGGCGUAAAGGGUGCGUAGGCGGUUGUUUAAGUCUGUCGUGAAAUCCCCGGGCUCAACCUGGGAAUGGCGAUGGAUACUGGGCAGCUAGAGUGUGUCAGAGGAUGGUGGAAUUCCCGGUGUAGCGGUGAAAUGCGUAGAGAUCGGGAGGAACAUCAGUGGCGAAGGCGGCCAUCUGGGACAACACUGACGCUGAAGCACGAAAGCGUGGGGAGCAAACAGGAUUAGAUACCCUGGUAGUCCACGCCCUAAACGAUGCGAACUGGAUGUUGGUCUCAACUCGGAGAUCAGUGUCGAAGCUAACGCGUUAAGUUCGCCGCCUGGGGAGUACGGUCGCAAGACUGAAACUCAAAUGAAUUGACGGA
Molecule: ribosomal RNA, 533 nt
Filed under: uncultured bacterium
Lineage: Bacteria
Description: bacterial SSU rRNA
Rfam family: Bacterial small subunit ribosomal RNA
Source: RNAcentral